Non-coding RNA from Pelobates cultripes (western spadefoot toad), 812 nucleotides. The record is from the annotation of a GenBank genome assembly. NCBI's taxonomy places the organism in Eukaryota, Metazoa, Chordata, Amphibia, Anura, Pelobatidae.
GGUGGUGCUUCCCUUUUCCCCUUUCAUACAGUAUCUAUUGAUGGCCAGAAAGAAGAGACUCUGGUUUAAGUUGUCCAAGCUACCUAUCUACACUAAAUCUCAUAUUUUAUCCCAUUCUAAGUUGUGACUCUAGCUUAUUUGGAGAUCUUUACUAAUAGCUUAAAAGAAAUUUAAAAAAAUUGAAUACAAUCUAUAGAAUUUAACAAUUAUCCAUAUAUGUAAAAUGCCUAAUAGACAUAAAAGGAGAUUCACAAAUGUUAGGGAGUGACACAGGAGUGUCUCUCUGUUAGGUCUGGACAUGCAGGUGUCUACCUGGAGGGAUGCUCAGGUUAGGGAUGUAGUGAGUCACAUAAAAUACAUUUCCAGCCAGUAUUGCUCCAAGCAGUAAAAAGCAACAAGAAAAUAGUUCAGUGAUUCAGCAGCAUACAGAAAUCCUCUGCUGUCAGUCUGUCAAAAUCACAUGGAUAUUAGAGAUUGGCAAUCUCACACGAGGGGACAUGGAGACAAAAUUAUUCUGUGUCAUCUCAGACUUAGACACAUGGUGAAUCAUAGAAGUAUGUCACUUCUUUAGUUUGAAUCACAUGGUCACAUAUUUCCCUACUUCUUGUUCCUAAAUAAAGUCUGAAUGAACCUGUACUGAAAGGGGAAAAAAUCAUCAGGUUACAUAUGGGGCUACUUAACAAUGUCUAGAUUUUGCUAUUCAGGAAACGAAUGGACCUGAGUUUGGUCCAGAUUUUUAGCCAGACUGAUCGCCACCGGAUGGCUGAAAUCCAGAGUCUAAUGUUUUAAAUCCAGGCCAAGAUUUAAAAAAA